RNAcentral lists this ribosomal RNA (425 nucleotides) under uncultured bacterium. Its description in RNAcentral is "bacterial SSU rRNA". It matches the Rfam family "Bacterial small subunit ribosomal RNA", at positions 917 to 1345 of the family's 1533-position model. The record is from RNAcentral.
GGGCCCGCACAAGCGGUGGAGCAUGUGGUUUAAUUCGAUGAUACGCGAGGAACCUUACCAGGGCUUAAAUGGGAGAUGACAGGGGCAGAGACGCCCUUUUCUUCGGACAUCUUUCAAGGUGCUGCAUGGUUGUCGUCAGCUCGUGCCGUGAGGUGUCAGGUUAAGUCCUAUAACGAGCGCAACCCCUACCGUUAGUUGCCAGCGAUUCAAGUCGGGGACUCUAACGGGACUGCCGGUGCAAACCGUGAGGAAGGUGGGGACGACGUCAAAUCAUCACGGCCCUUACGUCCUGGGCUACACACGUGCUACAAUGGUCGGUACAGAGGGAAGCUACCCCGCAAGGGGAUGCGGAUCUAUAAAACCGAUCUCAGUUCGGAUCGGGGUCUGCAACUCGACCCCGUGAAGCUGGAAUCGCUAGUAAUCGG